GUGGGGAAUAUUGGACAAUGGGCGAAAGCCUGAUCCAGCCAUGCCGCGUGAGUGAUGAAGGCCUUAGGGUUGUAAAGCUCUUUCAGUAGGGAAGAUAAUGACGGUACCUACAGAAGAAGCCCCGGCUAACUUCGUGCCAGCAGCCGCGGUAAUACGAAGGGGGCUAGCGUUGUUCGGAUUUACUGGGCGUAAAGCGCACGUAGGCGGAUUGGUCAGUUAGAGGUGAAAUCCUGGAGCUCAACUCCAGAACUGCCUUUAAUACUGUCAGUCUAGAGUCCAGAAGAGGUGAGUGGAACUCCUAGUGUAGAGGUGGAAUUCGUAGAUAUUAGGAAGAACACCAGUGGCGAAGGCGGCUCACUGGUCUGGUACUGACGCUGAGGUGCGAAAGCGUGGGGAGCAAACAGGAUUAGAAACCCUGGUAGUCC
This 425-nucleotide ribosomal RNA is filed under the name uncultured bacterium. RNAcentral describes it as "partial 16S ribosomal RNA". It matches the Rfam family "Bacterial small subunit ribosomal RNA", at positions 354 to 796 of the family's 1533-position model. The record is from RNAcentral.